UAACCUACCUAUAUAUAUAACUCUUAUUAACCUAAACAACCCUAAUCAGUUUCUCUUUUCUUCCUCAAACUCGAGCCGCAGCUUCGUCGGAUUCUCAACCCUAGCAACUCAUUUUCGUCCGAUUCACACAUCUUUCCGACCACUAGGAGCAAAUACGGUGGUAGAAACAAAAGAUCGUCUUUCUUUUUCCAUGUGUAGAGAAUCUUCAAAUUGAAGGAGAAUCUCCUCAUUUGAAUUGGAGGUUGGUGGAGUUCAAGCGUCAUGGUGACCUUUAGUUUUUAGUUUUCUGUUGUGUUGUUUGAUCACUCUUUAUGUUUUGCGGGACAUUAUAAGAUUUGAGUCAUAGAUUCUUAGAUUUGGAAUGUUGGAUCAUUUUAGAUGUUUGAGAAAGAAUGAACAAUAUACAUGUUGGUUUUUUUGCUGAUAAAUGUGGAUUUUUCAGGUCA
Molecule: long non-coding RNA, 446 nt
Organism: Raphanus sativus (radish)
Lineage: Eukaryota; Viridiplantae; Streptophyta; Magnoliopsida; Brassicales; Brassicaceae
Exons: 3
Source: RefSeq, a predicted model, not a curated record